RNAcentral lists this ribosomal RNA (443 nucleotides) under uncultured bacterium. RNAcentral describes it as "bacterial SSU rRNA". It matches the Rfam family "Bacterial small subunit ribosomal RNA", at positions 958 to 1399 of the family's 1533-position model. The record is from RNAcentral.
AACGCGAAGAACCUUACCUGGGCUCGAAAUGCAGGAGACCGGGGUAGAAAUAUCCCUUUCUCGCAAGAGACUGCUGUAUAGGUGCUGCAUGGCUGUCGUCAGCUCGUGUCGUGAGAUGUUGGGUUAAGUCCCGCAACGAGCGCAACCCUUAUCCCUAGUUGCCAUCGGGUCAAGCCGGGCGCUCUAGUGAAACUGCCUCGGAUAACGAGGAGGAAGGUGGGGAUGACGUCAAGUCCUCAUGGCCUUUAUGUCCAGGGCUACACACGUGCUACAAUGGUCGGUACAAACCGUCGCAAAGCUGCAAAGUGGAGCUAAUCGGAAAAAGCCGGCCUCAGUUCGGAUUGCAGUCUGCAACUCGACUGCAUGAAGCUGGAAUCGCUAGUAAUGGCGCAUCAGAUCGGCGCCGUGAAUACGUUCCCGGGCCUUGUACACACCGACGCGUA